AUGGUGACGCGUGGAUCUUCACCGACUCAAUUUCAUUUAUAGAGAGUUUUCAUCUUUCUGGAUGUUUCGUCUCGCUUCCCCCUCUCUUCACUCUCGCUCUUCGCUCUUUCUCUGCAACAUUAAAACUCUCAAAUCACAAGCCAACCAUAACCAAACCCUCCUCAACCCUUCUUUCUCCCUUCUCUCUUUCCUCUCACUUUUAUCUAUGUUACUCACUUAAUACAAAGUGGUGUACGGCGACGAUUUCGGCAACGGCCGGCCUUGAGGUUGGUUCAAACGGUUGCUCUUCACAUCAGAUUAUUGCCAAAGCAGUUUAAUAUAAGAUACAAAGUGCUCUUGCUGAAAUAGAAAAAAACAACGAGUUUGACAACGUGGUAUUUUUGGAUUUUAUCCUGGUUGUAUUUGUGUUGCAUGGUUGUCUACGCUAAAGCUUAUCAAUUCAUAGACUCUUAGCUUGUAAGAACUGUAAAGAAAGUUAAACAUGACAGCAGUGGCCAAACAUGAAGCCCGGGACAAGUUAUUGGCGCUCAAUACGCAACGACAUUUGUCAUGCCCUUGAAGAGCUUGGCUGUUUCAUGGCAAUCCUGCCCAACAAACUUCCGUUGGAGGAACUUCGUAACUCCUUCCUUGGUGCAUUGCAAGAGUAGUUAGAUUUCCCCAUGGACGUCAAAGUGCGAGACAAAAAAGGGGCCUAUUUAUCUGUCAAUCCUACCCAUGAAGGCUUGGGGGUGCUUAAUGCCACAACCACUGAAGAAAUUCAGAAGUUCACUCGUCAUUUUUGGCCUAAUGGAAACGAUCAUCUUUGGUAUGAUUUUGUACACAUUUUUUACAUGUCAACAGCUCUCGUCUUUAAGAUUUAAACUCAAGACGUUAUUUACAUUUUUUCAAUAGUUGUAUAGUUUGUGGACCAAAAUAUAGUUAUAUAGUUAAUAGUUUAGCGUUCCCUAGCCUACCGGCUAUGGCUUUUAUUACAUACCUUAGGACUUUAAAUCAACGGUUCUGAUGAAAACAUUAGAAUCAAAUUU
RNAcentral lists this small RNA (1025 nucleotides) under Malus domestica (apple). RNAcentral's name for it is "sRNA MD15G0223700". Lineage: Eukaryota; Viridiplantae; Streptophyta; Magnoliopsida; Rosales; Rosaceae. The record is from RNAcentral.